UACACUUCAUUUCGUUUCACUUAUCUGAUUGAGCUAGCGUUUUUUCGGUGAAUAGUUGAGCGAGAAACCAUAAAUUAAUGAGGCAAGUAAAUUAUACGGAAUUUAUUAUUACAAUUAUUUGCUCAUGUUCUCCUUACCUAAAGAGAGAACCGUGUUAUGAUGGACGAAUGGACAAAACGGCACAUGUAGCAUGCAGCGCACGUUGCCAGCUGCAAGCCGCUUGAACUGUUCAGGGUUGCGGGGGUACUGGAGCCUAUCCCAGAAUGCAUUUGGCGAAAGUUCAGGAAGGCUACUUGCAUAAAGACAUCACGGCUGCCCUCCUGCCAUGUAUGUGAUGGUGUCCUGGUGGCAGCUGUACAGGCCUUGCACAUUUCUGCUUCCUCUGCAUGCAAAACUGUGGCAUGACCAAUGUGGCUCGCUCUCGUUUGCAGACAAGGGGACUGUUCUAAUCCCUGGAUAUGCUCUAUGGUCUGGGAUCUGGUAAGGCACUCUUCUAGUGGCUGGAUGGGCCCCAUGGCCUCGUACUGAAACAAAACUGUGCCAGUGUUGACUAUGGCUAGCAGCCCUGCAAGAUGGCACACAGUUCUCUCUCCAGGGAUGGAAAAGUUUCUGUCAGUCAGCAUUAUGGUGUCUCAUCGAGCACCAGCAGCACUGGUUGACUAACCAAGAGUCCGACAAGCCCGACUAGCGAACUGUGGUACUGUGGCUGACAUUGUGUGCAUUGGAAGAGAGAAAGUGCUUUCUGUGCUCUCCCAAACUGAUAGCAAGAUGUAUGCAAUGAACAUUUAUAAAUCCAAUUAGGUAUUCCAACUUGGGGAGUAAAGGGGGGGAGGUAUUAAAAACCGCUUUUGCUUUUGAUUGGUCAGCCUCUGCACUUACAUAACCUCAUUUUAGAGUUUGAAUUUUUCCAAACAAAGAACAGACGUUCUCUACGGACACAAUGCAUGCUGACUGCUGUACAGAGCAAAUAGCCAGACCUGGGAUCUCCUGGCUACUUCUCCUUGUUUUUAAUAAAAAUCUCCUUCCUGCUUUUUCAUACAAAAGCACAAAUCUUUCAGGAAAAAGAGCUCUUUUUAGAUACCUGAUGCGUCUUUUCGGAAGAUCAUUUCGCGGAUAUUUCUCCGGUUGCGCUCUGACAGUAAUGGAUAUAAUGUCCACUUAACUUAAUGCAAUGGAUAUAAUGUUGCUCUGAAUAGAAUGGAUGUAAUGCACUUUGUCACCAACUGCUUUGAUGAUUCAUUUUUCUACGAGCUCCUAGCUGUUCACAACACACAUUGUGUGCUUUGAGGAACUUUCGUCGUGUUCGUUUGUCAAAACUCAAUUACACUGAACAUGCAAAGCUGCAUGUCAAUGGAACUCUAGAAUUAUGCAUUCUAGAAUUAUGGAACUGAAAAUAUUGGCGUUUGCAGAAUGGAAAACCACUGAAACGGCAUACUCCCUAUUUUAAAAAUAUAUCUGCAGUUUAUGUAAAUGAAGGCCAUACCUUAGUUUAAUUUUUCUUUCUGGUGUGUCAAUGAAAUGUGCCAUUGACAAAAAUCUUGUCUGUGUCCUGCUUUCCUGUAUUUCUAACUAUACAAAUAAUGGAAACUUUGAUUCAGUUCAAUUCAGGAGAGAAAACCUGAUUGUGUGAUCUAUCGAAUGUUUGUAGUAGUAACAGGCUAUAUAUUGUAUUGUAUAUUGGAAACGUGCUGAACUUUAUUCAGUAUUAUUUAUCGGAACAUGCUGAACUUUAUUUAAUUCCUCGUGAAUGUGUACAGCAGCAUACUUAUUUGGCAAGACAGCUUGUACAGUUUGUGUCCCAAGUGCCUGUUUGCAAUUCACACUCAGGGAUGAGUUAUUAUAAGCCUUUUUUUGGCAGGAGGGGGGGUCACCCUGUGACUCUAGGUCAUCAGAACAGCUUCUCUGUGUCACAUGUUCAGUCACAGUUCAAUAAAUCCUGUCUGUAGGUUGAGUCUCCCCCAUUGACUCAUGUUUUAAAAUAUGAAUUACAUUUCAUUUCAUAAAUUGUUUACAUGAAAGAAGAAUAACUCAUCGCGCCACACUAUCCAAUGUGCACUGGAAUGUCUUUUUAAAGCAGCUAAGUGCCGAUUAGAUGGAUUAGGAAUUUCUGUUAGACGGAUCUCAACCUUAUUUUAAACGUCUGUUUCUUUUGCUAAAUAAAGAAAGGAACUGCAUGUGAUAAACCUACAAUAAACACUUUGCCAUGUCUUAAUCUCUAAAGAGGCUGAGCAUUAGGCAUGGAUUUAGUCAACAUGCAUCCUUGCGUUUUUUUACCCUUCACAAACAGUUUGGCUAGUUUCAUGAUCGCCAAAAAUGAACUUGUCAAAACUGUGUUUGUGAGGAAGAAAGUGUUUCUCAGUCCUACUUUCAAAAGACAAUUUUUACUUGCUUGCAGAGGAAAUGUAAAAGGUAGACCUACUCACUGUGGAGCUGCAGUUGUUUUGGGAAGCUGUACAGUCAUUGUACUACCUGUUUUUCACUGCGCAUGGAAAUACGUUUUUUUUUUCCAAUUUUCCACUUUCAAAUAUGAACUGCCCCUUUAAUUCAGGUGACAAAGGAUUAGCCUACCUAUCACUGGGGUGUAAUGGCCCGACCAAUGAAAUUCUUGGUAUGUUAGUCAUUUAUGAAUCUUGGCCUUCUUUGUUUGCGCUCAUUGGAAGGUGCACUGGAUAAGAGCAUCAGCUGAAUGCCUGGAUGGUAAAUGUAAAUGAAGAUACUUUCCGGGUUUCUGGGUCUCUGCCACGGCCGCCGACUGCUCUGUUUGAAUCCGGCGACACAUUUUGGCGGGAAGUGAAGGGGCAACUGCCGCAUCGUACCUCUGAACCGAUUCCGCAGGCCCCGAGCUCACCACCAAGAAGGAGGACAGAGCUCCUCCAGAGAGCAGCAGGUUUAGAUUUAGGAGAGGUCGCGGAUAAAAUAAACAGUUUUUCAGUUUGACACUUGCCAGAAUACCGACCCGCUGAUCGGCCCCAAAUGUCUGCACUGCGCUCUCAGGAAAAAAACCAGAACAACUUUAUUUGACAUACAAUACGUGUUGUACUUAUGGAGUACAUGCUUUCAGGAUUAAUUGGCUGUGAUUCCCAAGAAAUAACUGAUCAAACUAACAAGCUAAAUGAAACCCAUUCAGGUAUUUGUGCUAUGACAAAAAAUGAAAUAACACUCCAAUAAACAACUGUUACGCUAAAUUGAUAGUUGUCUUGGCAUGUGUGCGGUGAAAUCAUGCAUUGACUUAGUGAUAUAAAUCUAACAGUGCACCAGAUCCUCAUAAGCUACUAUAAUGGUUGUAGAGCAAACCAAUAAGCUCUGAGUGUCUGAAAUUGAGUCAGUGCUGAACUCAGAUUUCAUAAAUCAAGGCUUACUACUACCUAUCUAUGAAAAAAAAGACAAUUUACCAAAUAAUACUUUUGUAUUUUCUGUAGAACCAAACAGUGAAGAAGAAAUGACCAAAACCAUCAAAUUAUGAGUACUGAUACAAAACAGUAAUGAAUAAAUGAAGUUAAAAUAAAUAAAAUACCAAUCAAUCGUUUGAGGUUAAGGGAGUAGACAGCUGCAUAAAGAAAACUUUUAUGGAUAUUUUGUCAGAUUAUUUGUGUAUUUACCUUAUUUUGAUGGUUUGGACACAUAAAAGAUACCCUAAAAUCAAAUGCAGGCCUAUUUGAUUCCAUAUGUGGAUGGUGUUAGGCUACCACAUUAUGACCACAAGAGUAGGCAUAGGUAAACAAUAAAUACAAAUAAGCCAUUUUGUAGUUUGACUGAACAAGGUGAGAUUUCUCCAUGCUACGCCUGUGCGUAUGUAUAAACUAAAUUCAUUCUGUAACGUGUUUGAACCAUCACAUUGCCAGUUUUUACAUAACUUUUCAGAGAUGGACCUUUUUGAUGCACUACCCUGAAGCUAAAAAUAAGAUUUAUGCGCAAAGUUCAAAGGUUUAGUGGAUUGAUGUUUACCAAAACUGUUCUUAAAUACUCUUAAAUGCUCUUAUAUUUUUCUUGUUGGCAGAACACUUUGUGCAGAACUUUCUGAAAAGUACAUUUUACAUGAGCCAAAGUAUUUUUGCUUUGGCUCAAAAUGUUGCAAAUGUGCAGGAUUUAUUUAUUUAUUUUUAUUUUAUUUAUUUAUUUCAUGUCGUGGCGACCUUGCUCAUGACCGACACAACAAGGCUUUAUGUAAGCAAAAAAUUCCAUACAAACAGAUUGUUUCCCCAGACAAGGAGUGAAAUAUGUAAUUUCUCUGGAACCCUACACUUUGCUAACUGGCCCAUUUGUUUUUUAUCCCCCCACUGUGACACAUGCAGAUAUUAGAUUACCUUGUGCUGUCUGUGUUUCUGUGUAACACUCAUAUCUCAAAAACAACUAUUUCCCUCGAAGCAAUACAGUAUUGGAACUCAGGACAAAAGCUAAUGUGAGCUUUCCACAAUUUGAAUAGCUUUAAUCUACUUAUGUACUUAAAAGCACAUGCUAAGAAUUUGUAAACAAAUGGUCCCUAUUCAGGCUAUUUAUUUAUUUGUACAAGGUCACUCCAAUGGGCUUAUCAGUUCAAUAAAAUCCAUGUAGAGAAUCCAUGUAGCACAUAUCAGUCUCUGAAAAACUGGUUCCAAUCACAGUUGGUUGUGGUAAGCUGGUUUGUAACUCUGUAAACUGUAUGUCACGUUUACUCUUAAAGCAUUGAAUUUGGGCUUAUGCUUCCCUGAGUCUCAAACCAGUUCUUGUAGAGAAAACACAUAUUGUAAAUCACAGUU
Molecule: long non-coding RNA, 4736 nt
Organism: Anguilla rostrata (American eel)
Lineage: Eukaryota; Metazoa; Chordata; Actinopteri; Anguilliformes; Anguillidae
Exons: 4
Source: RefSeq, a predicted model, not a curated record